This 6663-nucleotide long non-coding RNA is filed under the name Lactuca sativa (garden lettuce). RNAcentral's name for it is "long non-coding RNA (LSAT_LNC001956)". Lineage: Eukaryota; Viridiplantae; Streptophyta; Magnoliopsida; Asterales; Asteraceae. The record is from RNAcentral.
CAAGAUAUAAUUAUUAGCAUACCCCUUGAAACCAAUGCAUGAUAUUUGCCAAAUAAUGGUGUUCUUUUAUUAGAUAUGAGAUUGUAUUGUACUAUUGUGGGUAGUUUGGUUUAUUUUACAGUCACUCGUUCGGACAUAGCUCAUCCAUUUCAUGUGGUUAGCCAAUUUGUUUCAACUCUUACUGUUGUACAAUAGAGAGAGAUGUUCUCAUAUUUAGGACAUCUUCAUGGCGGCUAGUUUUAAAGUCUUAUGUUCCACUUGAAUUCCUCUCUAGAGUUGUGUACCUACGGUGAUUGUAACACCCAUGAUUUUUAAAACCAUUUUAAGUUACAAAAUAUUACAUUUCCCAUGACAUACGGUCAUGUCAAAAUACACUUUACAAAAAUUUCCAAAUAUUAUCAGAAUACAUUUGAUGGUGUUAUAAAAGACACAUAGCCAUAGAUCAAGGAAAGUAUUAUACAUAGUGAAGACUACACUAGAUCUUCAAAAAAUCCUGUCAAGUGCACCUCUAUCACUUAUCACUUGAUACCUUUGAUACUAAACAUGAGUACGUAGAGUACAUAGACAACAUUAAUAAAAACAAAAUACGUAAAUCCAAAGAAUUGCGAGCUACACGAGCUCCGACCUAGUAUCAAAACUUGAAAUAUAUUUCAUAAACUUCUAGCAUGUCAUAAUAACUUAAACAUGAAUCUUAUAAAUCAUAAUGACUCUAAUUACGCAUAAAAUACUAGCACAAAGCUAGUUUAACAUUUCUAGCUCAUAGCUAGUUUCAAACAAGAUCCUAACACAUAUGGGGAGUCGAGACCUUUGACUUUAAUUGCAUAACUUGGCCCCGAAAGAAACAUAUCACUACGUGUCGUUAGGUUAGUAUAUAUUCAUAUAAUUAUGUCCCCUUUCUCGGGACCUUUAACUAUGUCCCCAUUAUUAAGACUUGUGACCGUAACCUGUUUUGAGACCUUUAACUUUAACCUAGUCUCUUUACAUGUCUUUUUUUUUCUCACAAACCAUUUUCAUACUUUAUAUUUUACUUCGUUUUUAUAUCCAUUUUACAAUUUCAUUUUUUUUCACCUUGUUUCUAUAUGUUUUUCAUAAUCAGUUUUUACUUCAUUUUUUACUUCGUUUUUAUAUGUUUUUUUUUUCACAAUUCCUUUUUAAACUUCAUUUUUUGCUAUUUUUUACAUGUUUUUUCACAGUUCGUUUAUACAAACUAAUUGUGAAAAAACAUGUAAAACAAAGUCAAAUAAUGAAGUUGUAAAAAUAAAUUGUGUAAAAACAUAUAAAAAUGAAUAUAUAUNAUAUAUAUAUAUAUAUAUAUAUAAACUUAGAUAAUAAAAAAACAUAAAAACCUGACAUUGUUGGUCAUAAAGACUAAGUUGACUAAAUAAAUUUUCGAUGACUUUUUAGACUUAAAACAAAAUUUUGACUAAAUGAACACAAAGAAAAUAGUGCGUAGUAAUUUCGACUUUAACCUUUAUUUUAUUGAUAUUAUAAUGGAAUAAAACUAAAACUGUUUAAAAGAAACCUCAAAGGCCAAAAAUUUAUUGUGAAAUUUUAGAAGUAGGUCCAACAAAGCAUUAAGCAAUCCGCGAAAUGCAGGGAUUUAAAUAAAUUAAGGGAAAUCAUUUAAGCCCACAAAGUUCUUUGUUGGAGAAGUUGUUGACUUAGGCUUCUAAUGUGAAAAGAAUUUUUGUUGCCUUUGUCUCCUAAGGGGAAAAGUAACUAUGCUGCCUUUGUCUCCUAAUGGGAAGAGUUGUUGUAACGUGGAAUAUUUAACAACUAUGUAGCAUUAUCGGCUGGUCAAAAAGUAAUGUAAAAAACGCUUUAUGAUUAAACAAAGAAAAUAACCAUCCCAUCAUAAUCAUGAGUUAAGGGUAGUUUGAUAGUUGUAAACUGAGUUAGAGUUAGAGUAGACUCAGUUGUUUACAUCUGACUGAAUUUAUGAUGUUUGAUUAUUUUUCUGACCGUGGCGGAUGAAAAAAAAAAUUAACCAUAUUACCCUUGUGAGUUUGUUCAUACACAUAACAAGACAUCUACUAACAAAAUAACAAGCAAUAUAAUUUUAACAACAAAAUAAAUCACAGCAACAGCCAAAACGUAAUAUUAACAGAAAUUCGAGUCUACAUCAUUUGCAUUUUUUGUAUAACAAAAUUACAUAAAAGCACAUAGCAUCUACAAAAACAUUUAAACUAUAUAUAUAUNNNNNNNNNNNNNNNNNNNNNNNNNNNNUAUAUAUAUAUAUGAAAAACAAGAAGAAGGAAGAAACAGCAAAACAGGAACAGAAGAAACAGAAACAGCAAAACAGCCAAUUGACUUUCUCAGCAAAAACUCAUACGAUAUAGCAGCAAAAUUUCAGAAAGAAACAAGGAACAAGAAAGAGAAAUCAGAAAAUAUCGUAUGAAAUAGAGAAAUCGGGAACAGAAAAUCCUGUAUGGAAUGCAGUUAGACAAACAUGCCAAAUGGGUUUUUUUGGACCCAGUUAGACAAACGACCCCUUCUUAUUGUAAUAAAUAAUUGGAGUAGGGUCCUCAAAAUGCCUAGAUAUAAAAGCCUUGUAAUCCCCUAAGUUUAGUUGCAAAAAUGAACACAAGGCAACCAAUUUCCUUUUCCUGUUUUGUUAUAUUUCUGAUUGCUGCCUCCAUCGAUGGUGGUAAUGAGACCGAUUACCAGGCUUUGUUAAAGUUCAAGUCUAUGAUCAGGAAUGAAGAAGCUCUAAUCUCAUGGAAUGCUUCCUUCCAUUUCUGUGAUUGGAGUGGUGUCUACUGUGGGAGGCGGCAUAGAAGAGUAACUGUUCUGCUACUGGAGUCACAAGGGCUAGAAGGCUCAUUGUCUCCUCAUAUAGGGAACCUUAGCUUCCUUCGUUUCUUUUCUCUCUGGAACAACAGCUUUCAAGGAACCAUCCCUCAUGAACUCGGUCGUCUCUCCAGGCUACGUUUCCUCUAUCUUGGCUCUAACAAAUUCAACGGGGUCAUUCCAACUAACUUGACUCGUUGUUCUAACCUUAAAGAGAUUGGACUUAAUAAUAACAACCUAGUUGGAAGCAUACCUAAGGGGAUUGGUUUCCUCUCCAAACUUACUUAUCUUUCAGUUGAUGAAAAUAAUUUAACCGGUGGAAUCCCACGUGUCUUGGGGAAUAUAACAUCAAUGGAAGUGUUCUCUGCUGCUGAAAAUCCGUUGGGUGGGAGCAUUCCAGACACCUUAGGCCACUGGAAUAGCUUAACACAACUUUACCUUGGUGCUUGUAACUUAUCUGGAACCAUCCCUCCUUCCAUUUUUAACCUCUCACACCUAACGAAUUUUUCCUUGGCUGAGAAUCAGCUUACCGGUAGUCUUCCCUCAGCUUUAGGUACAAUGCUCCCUCAUCUUAGGUACCUUCAGUUAUGGGGUAACCAACUCACCGGAACUCUUCCACCCUCGAUAUCUAAUUGUUCGAAAUUAGAUUUUCUUGAAGUCCAUCUAAACAACUUCAGUGGGAAGUUGGAAAUUGACUUUGCAGAAAUGAAAGAUAUGUAUUUUAUAUCCUUGGGUGGUAACAACAUCUAUGGAUCCGGAGGUGCUGAUGAUAUGAAGUUUAUUGAUACUUUGAAAAACUGUAGCAGAUUAGAGACAUUGGAUCUUUUUCGUUGCACGUUUCAAGGACCAUUGCCUGCAUCAAUUGGUAAUCUUUCUGAUCAGCUCAGUUAUCUAAGUUUAGGAGAAAACCGUAUACAUGGAAACCUCCCUCCAGGUAUAGGUAAUCUAAUUGGCUUGACCAAUUUAGGUUUAGAAAAUAACCAGUUUACUGGAAAAAUCCCCUCAACCAUUGGUAAGCUUCAGAACCUACAAAUUGCUUCUCUACAUUACAACCAAUUUUCAGGGCCGAUUCCAGAUGCCAUUGGAAACUUAUCAUUGUUGACUAAGCUUUGGUUAAAUUCCAACAAAUUGGAAGGACAGAUUCCAUCAAGCCUGGGAAAUUGUCAUCAUCUAUUGGAGUUACACCUUGACGAUAAUAAACUUGGUGGUAAAAUACCUACUCAACUUCUUCAACUUUCAUCUCUAACCAUAGCAUUAAAUCUUUCUCAAAACAACCUGGUCGGGUCGCUUCCAACAGAAGUUGGCAACCUCAAGAUGUUGACUUAUCUUGAUUUGUCAAAUAAUAAAUUAUCAGGUAACAUUCCUAGUAGCAUUGGUGGUUGCACUAGCCUUGUAUUCUUAUCCCUCAAAGGUAACUUAUUUCAAGGCCAUAUACCAACGUCAUUAAGUUCCAUGAGAGCAGUUUCGACACUUGAUCUUUCUCAUAAUAAAUUAUCGGGCCAAUUUCCUCGAUUCUUGCAACGGUUGACCUUAUUAGAAUAUGCAAACCUGUCCUUUAAUGACUUCCAGGGCAAUGUACCAGUGAUCGGAGUAUUUGCAAAUGCAAGUGCAUUCUCUGUUUUGGGUAAUAAUAGGCUUUGUGGUGGCUUGGCUGAAAUUAGGUUGCCCAAAUGUAAUACAAAGAAGCAUAACAAAAAGUUACCUUUGUUCAUCAUACUCAUUCUGUUCGCAUCCACACUUUUCACCAUAUUAUCUUUUGCAAAUUUUUUAUGUAAGAAGAAGAAGAGUCAACCGUCUCAAUCAUCGAGAGGCGAACGGUUCAUGAAAGUAUCAUACAGUCAACUUCUCAAGGCUACCAACGGCUUCUCCCAAGCCAAUUUGAUUGGUGAGGGUGGGUUCAGCUCUGUUUACAAAGGAGUCCUUGAUGAUACAAUUGUUGCAGUCAAAGUUGUACAUCUUCAAAACCGAGGUGCUCACAGAAGCUUUACAGCAGAGUGUGAAGUGUGGCGGGGUAUUCGACACCGGAAUCUGGUUAAGAUAAUAACUUCAUGUUCAAGUGUUGACUACCAUGGCAAUGACUUCAAAGCUUUGGUAUAUGAGUUCAUGCCCAACGGGAGUUUACAUGAUUGGUUGCAUUCAAGUCCAAGUACAUCCAGAUUGAAUCUUUUCCAGAGAAUAAAUAUUCUCAUGGAUAUCGCAUCUACAAUUGAUUAUCUUCACAAUCACUGCCCAUCACCCAUCAUUCACUGUGACCUGAAGCCUAGCAACAUUCUACUUGAUGAUGAUAUGGUGGCCCAUGUUGGAGACUUUGGUUUAGCUCGAUUUCUUGGAACAAAUCCAAACAAAAAAAGUACAAGUGGCAUUAGAGGAACAAUUGGGUAUGCACCUCCAGGUAAAGUUCAUGUAUUCCCAAAUGCUCAUAUUUAUUUUAGUAUUACAUUUUCUGCAAAUAAUAUUUGCUUAAGAGUUGCAGAGUAUGGUGUUGGGAGUGAGAUGACAAGUAGUGGGGAUGUCUACAGUUUUGGAAUACUAUUAUUGGAGGUGAUGACAGGGAAGAGGCCAACAGACAACAUCUUUAACGAAGGCCUUACCCUUCAUAAAUUUGCAUACAUGGCCUUGCCAGACCAUGUAACUGAUGUUAUUGAUGAUGAUCUUCUGAAUUUUCUUCAAGAGGAUGCUACUGCUACACAAUAUACAUCAGCACAUGCAAAGAAAAUAGAGGAAUGCUUGGCUUCAAUCAUCAAACUAGGAGUAUCAUGCUCAGUGGAUUCCCCACCGCAGCGGAUGAAUAUCAAAAAUGUUGUCCGUGAAUUGCAGAAAAUUCUGGAUACACUGCAAAAUAUCCAUGGCUCCAUGUUCUCUCAUCUUCCUAAAUGAAAACAUAUAUAAUUAAAGAAGCCUCUGCCUUUCCUGAGAGGCACUUGUCUUUAUUACAAAACAUUAGUAGUAUUUGUCCGUAUUAUGUAUCAUUAGUUAGUUCAUUACACACCUGACUUGGGUGGUUACUGGUUAGGCAAUCACUGCUUCAUAUGGUAUGUGCAUUUCUAAUAUAUCUUCUACUUCACAUUUGACAUUUUAAUUCAACUCGAUGUAUGAGUUAGAAGCCAUUCAAGUAUCGCAUUUACAUUACUUAAAUGAUUUGACUUGUACCCAAUUUUCAUGAAUAAUCUUGAAACUCACCUCUCUGAACUAACAAGUAACAACAUUCCGACCUUAAUUGUUUACCUUUUCCCUCUACAACUUAUCAAUCGAAUUCCUCAUCCUUUACUAAAAUACAUAGUUAUUUAUCAACAUCAUUGAUGAUAUCAUUCUAGACACAAAACGCUAUAAGUGUAGCUAUUUCUAAUUUCUAUGCUUGGUUGUGCUUUAAAUAUUACAAACAGACAUAUAGAGCAAAAUCACCAUUUCUGUUUCAUACUAUUUGCACAAUUUUGUUAAAGUUUUAAACAUAUAAAAUGACACCAUUUCAUCUGAAUAACAGUAAUUUCUAGCCACCUUAGCCACAACCACAUAUUACAAAGAAGGAUUUCCAAGUAUUAAAGCAUCUUUUAGGUCAAAAUCCGACUAAAUACCCAAAAUCCCAAAUUUAUCAUUUUUAACAUAAGUAGGGUUCUCAUGCUCAUAAUAUGUGUACUCCAACCAAAUUACAUCAUCUUUCAGUAAACAGCAAGAAUUACAUUAAGAUUGGUAGAAUCAUCCAUAGAACAUUAGGGUUUACAUACCUCAGUUUCAUUCGUAUAAACAUCAAACCCACUGAUUCCCUUACGAAAAUGAUUCCCCAUCUUGCUGUCGAUCAAACUCUAACUACCAUCGCUUAAACCUUCUCUUUGCGGUGUUUGAGAUAUAUUUUUACGUUCAAGGACUUUUUUGUAA